Molecule: long non-coding RNA, 4292 nt
Organism: Lates calcarifer (barramundi perch)
Lineage: Eukaryota; Metazoa; Chordata; Actinopteri; Centropomidae
Exons: 2
Source: RefSeq, a predicted model, not a curated record
CACGCACACAUACACACGAGAGCAAAAUGGAGGCAAGACGAUGCAAUGGCGAAAAUGACCGGAAAGUUCCGAAGCUACCGAGCGCACUGAGGUGUCACAGCGAAGGCAUCAUCAGGAGGAGGGUUGUGACAGGCUCAGUCAGAGGUGAUGUCAUCACAGCGCGACCUGCGAGGACGAGGGCACCGCAAUCCCAUCGGGCUGUCUGUGUCGGCGCAGGGUCGAGGGAUUGGAUGUGUUGCUGGAGGUGUGAGGUGUAUGUCAGUGGGUGUCGCCUCCAAUAUCUCCCUCGCUUUUAAUCAGCCACAUUAGUUUUGAGUGCGAGUUGGUAUGUACACUGCUGCUACCGCAGGACAGGGAUCACACACAAAAACACACACUCACACUCUCACACACACACACACACACACACACGCACACAAAGUAGGCUACACUGGAGCUUCCUGAGUAAGCCGUCAUUGCUGAUGCACAGUCAGUAUUCAGGUUGAUAAUUUAGCCCUGCUCAUUUGAAACUGAAACAUUUAAACAGAGAACAGUAAUGUCAUCAAAUGUCAUUUGUGUCAUGGCAACCAGCAGGAAGAUAAAAUGUCAUCUUGUCUGAGAAUGAAUAUUUCUGCAGGGUCGGAGAACCCAUUUAUUAAAAUCACGGCGCCGGCGCCCCACUUUGCUAAAGAGACAGUAUUCCCUGUCAUGUUUCACAGUGACCCUCCAGCUUGACAUUUUGAUUUCUCUCAUUUUGUCCUUUCCAGUUUUCUCUCAGAGCGACAGCACGCGUGCCUGUAUGUGCGUGCACGCGUAUGUGUGUUUAAGUGUGCCAUAGACUAAAAGCCGCCCAUCCUAAAAGGCAAGACUAAGUGAAUGUCAGAAAUGUCAGGACGCCAACAUGCCCACUGGUGACAUGGGGGAUUGGCAGAUGUGCCAGGCAUCCUUGGAAGAACAUGUCCCCACUGCUAUUGAAGACUUCACUCUCAUGAUGUUUGACCUCUUUUCUCACUGCUUCCCAGUGGAAAUUUUCGAAGCUGAGACUUCUCAGAGGUGGCACAAGGGAGUAUGAGGAAAAUAUAGAUGCCAAAAUGCUCUUUUCAAAGCACAUUUCUUCAUGUCUACAUGCAUUUUCACAAUCCAUCAUUUGCUGACAACAGCUGUAGGAAGAAUGUCAAUUUGAUAUUAUGCAAAUGUAUUCAGUAGAACACAUCACAAACAUUCAUGGGUUGUGGUGUGUUGUGGAAUGUGAAUUUUAUGUGCUCUGACACUGCUGAAUAACUAAUGAUGUGGGACUGACCUGUUUGCUUGAAUGCCUGUCACAAAAAAAACCCUGCACUCUAAGCUGCAGAGUGAGAGGAUAGAAUGGUUGCAGACUUCCCCACUUUAUUUGAUCAAACCCGUAAGUUACUGUCAAAGCAAACUCAUUCAUUUUGACAAGGAAAGAGGCUUUCAGACCAGUUCUGACUGAUAUGGGCUUUGUGGCGGGCUGACACAAACACCUAUUUUUUAGGGGCGGAAGCUGCUGAUGCUGGAUAAUUUGUGCUGAUAUUGACUGUCUCCAAAUUAGAUCAUUUUCACUGCUGAAAAAAAAAAAUAGCAGAAUUUUUCAAAGACCUAACAAUCUUCCUGUUGGACCAUAGUUAAGUUCAAAUAGUAAGGAAUAUGAUGCACCCCAACUGAAUACAGUACACUCAUACAACAGCUUUAUAAAAAGAUAAGGUAUCUGGCUUCACUACACCUAACACUGAUGAUCCUGGGCAAUAAUCUCACAACCUACAUAUGCCCAGGGAGAGCAGAUAAAAGAUAACUAGUGGCUGAAUCUGGUUUUAAAUGAAUAAUAAUUUAAACUUACUCUGUUAAGUCUCCAUUUAUUAAAUUUAAACCUGCAUUAAUUGUUUUUUAGCUAUGUAUUGAGUGCAGUGCAACAAGUGAUAAACACAGCAAUUAAGUUGAUGUGUAAUGUGUAAUUUAUUCAUCCAGCAUACACAGACCAAUGCCAGGAUCCAUUUUGAGUCAUGUUUGUGUUCACCUGAUGCAUGAAAUAGUCACCCUUUUUGCUCUGUUUUUGGUCUCCACCACAUCUGCCUCUGUAGCUACUAAAUGCUCCACCAGCUACUUUCGAACUUUGUCUGUCUGAUGUUUGUGGUGUUGAGAAGGCAGUGUAUAGUGCAUUUAUUAGAGCUUUUUCACUGAAAAUAGCUGCUUGCUGCUGCUGGAAACUAUGAUGAGAAUGACUAAAUAGCUCGGUUGUUUACCAUAAAACCAAAACAAUUUGCUAAAAGAUGCUGAAUUGAUUAUAUAGAGCUGAGUGGCAGAGUGACUGCAGAGUUGGUGAUACUUAUCUGUCCCCAUAAACAACUCAUUUCACAUUAUAUAAAGUCGUUAUCUAUUGUUGAAAUAGAAAAAAAAAUAUAUUGAUCCAAAACAGCUGUAAACUGAGAAUCUUGGGGAAGUAUCCUUCAGAUUCUUAUUCAUGUCAUGGUUUCGCAAACAGCUUUACACCAUGAACCACUGAAACUAAAACAAGUUGAUCAACAUGAUUGUUACUAUCAUCAUUAUACAGAAUUUAAUCAAUGACAUCUUCCAAUCACUUCAGGUUAAUAAAUCUAUUAAUCUCAUUCAGGUACCAUGUGAUCAUAUCACACAGUCAUUACAGUUAUAAGAGCACAUAUUGUAUGACAACAUCAUAUAGACACUUAACACACUUAUAUACAUCUUACACCUCCAGCCUCCCAUCCCGACCCCAAUAUUAAAACAACCUCACAUACCACAUGUGAUUAUAAACACAUAUUGAUUUUCCAAUGUGACUGUAUAGAAGUUCCCAUGUCUCUCCAUGGGGACAGAGACUCAGAGAGAGCUGUCUCUUUUGCCUCCACACUGUACUGAAUCAAUGUGUCGCUAUCCAGGCAAUAGCUUCAAUAUUCUCCCCUGCUCUGUUUCCAAUUUGGUGCUCGAUUGGAGACAUCAUUCUUCAGUUGUCUUCACAGAGAGUGGCUGUCAGUGGGGACGUUAGUCUAUCCACUGGCCAGUGGGCUGUGGAGGCGGCACUGCAUUUGUAUUGUGAGUGCAUGCAGGGCCUCUGGGUACUGGAUAAGAGUGCUGCAUGCUUUUAUGUAGCUGUCCCUACAGUUUCUUCCGUCUUCACUGCAGUCACACAAUUGAUUUCUACCUUUACAAUAUAAGGGCAGAAAUCAAUUAAAAUGUACACCUGUGCAAAAUGACAUCAAAAUACACAGUUUUUUUCCCCCUGUUCCUUUUAGAGUCAAACCCACAGGGAAUUAUCAUCCGAUCUGUAGUUCCCCUCACCUCUAUGGACUAUAUAAGUGCCUUGUAGUUCAGUAUUUUGGUUGUUCAACUGUUUUACUGUUUUGUUUCACUCUCGCAGUUCUCAUCAGCAUUGUUUCCAGCAGCAACAGGCAGUUGUUUUCAGUGAAAAGGCUCUGAGCCGAUACACUACAUCUGCUCAGCACCAAACAGCAGGUAGAUACAGCUAGAGACUAGCUGGGGAACCAAGUGGAACGUUUAGCAGAGAUAAAAGGAGAAUGAAUAUUGGACCUACAUUCAUCAGGUGAACACACACCUGACUCCAAAUGAGUGCCAAUAUUUGUGUAACUAAAAGAUUUCAACCCAAUGGUCACUUGCUAGGUUUUCAUUUGCAUCUAGCUGUCCUCAUAAGGGAAUUGAAUUGCUCAGGUAUAAUCAUUUGAUUUAAAAUGUGGAACAUUGUUUCUUCAUUAAUGAAAACCACGAGAAGUGGUUGCAAGUUUUGUUAAAAAAAAAAAGAAAAAAAGAAAAAACAGGUGAGAAUACUGUAUGCCCUCUAGUGGUUGAAAAGAAACAAAGUAAAGUUUCAAUAAUGGCUGUGUAAAUUAUACGACUGUGCCUAAUUCCCAUUGUUUGUAGAAAAAAAUGUUCAGAAAAAGAGCCAGUAUUUGGAUUUUGUCACAGAAAUUGUGUUUUGCCACUGCAGCUGGCUGUGGUACUGUCAGGUUGGAGACCAGCCAUCAAACAAAUGUUGGUAAGGCUGUACUUAAAGUGGUGCUCAUAAAGCAUUACAUGGAAUAAUAACCACAUAAUGAUAAUUAGUACAAUAAGAUAUAAUAAACACAAUGUGCAAAACUGUAAGAAUCUGAACAUUUUAUGGAGAAACUAUUUAGUUAAUGACACUAUAAUAAACUGAAUGUGAUUCUCUGAUGUUGCUGAUGAUGUUCUCCCCGAUGUGUGAUGAAAGUUGAUCUUUGCUUCUAAUGUUUUUAUAAUCUGCUGGUACGACAUCACAGUGCACUUAAAAUAAAAUGUUGCCCACAGUU